This 253-nucleotide ribosomal RNA is filed under the name uncultured bacterium. RNAcentral describes it as "partial 16S ribosomal RNA". It matches the Rfam family "Bacterial small subunit ribosomal RNA", at positions 524 to 776 of the family's 1533-position model. The record is from RNAcentral.
UACGUAGGAUGCAAGCGUUGUUCGGAAUUACUGGGCGUAAAGAGUACGUAGGCGGUUUGAAAAGUCUGAUAUUAAAGACUGGGGCUUAACUCCAGGAGUGUAUCGGAAACUUUCAGACUAGAGGACAAUAGAGGAAGUCGGAAUUCUCAGUGUAGCGGUGAAAUGCGUAGAUAUUGGGAAGAACACCAGUGGCGAAAGCGGACUUCUGGGUUGUUACUGACGCUGAGGUACGAAAGCGUGGGGAGCAAACGGG